AUUGAACGCUGGCGGCAUGCUUUACACAUGCAAGUCGAACGGUAACAGGCCUUCGGGUGCUGACGAGUGGCGAACGGGUGAGUAAUGCAUCGGAACGUACCCAGAGGUGGGGGAUAACGCAGCGAAAGCUGUGCUAAUACCGCAUGUGAUCUGAGGAUGAAAGCGGGGGACCGAGCAGCAAUGUUUGGCCUCGCGCCUUUGGAGCGGCCGAUGUCGGAUUAGCUAGUUGGUGGGGUAAAGGCCUACCAAGGCGACGAUCCGUAGCUGGUCUGAGAGGACGACCAGCCACACUGGGACUGAGACACGGCCCAGACUCCUACGGGAGGCAGCAGUGGGAAUUUUGGACAAUGGGCGCAAGCCUGAUCCAGCAAUGCCGCGUGCGGGAAGAAGGCCUUCGGGUUGUAAACCGCUUUUGGCAGGAACGAAACGGUGUCCGCUAAUACCGGGCGCUAAUGACGGUACCUGCAGAAUAAGCACCGGCUAACUACGUG
RNAcentral lists this ribosomal RNA (491 nucleotides) under uncultured bacterium. RNAcentral's name for it is "partial 16S ribosomal RNA". It matches the Rfam family "Bacterial small subunit ribosomal RNA", at positions 29 to 507 of the family's 1533-position model. The record is from RNAcentral.